AUCUGGAAUUGUCAGAGUGGUCCAAGUGUUUUAUUGGCUGUCACGAUCCUAAUAGCGGAGAAUCUUAGGAAGAGAAACUGGAACCUCUCUCAGUUAGCGAGAUGGAGAGAGAAUCAAUCAGUUGCUUUUUAACUGUGGUUUCUCGCAGCAGAUACGGAAAGUCUUUGGUGGAUUAAAUUUCUCCCAACUUUCCUUGAGAACCUUUUGUUGCAUUGGAA
RNAcentral lists this long non-coding RNA (218 nucleotides) under Elaeis guineensis (African oil palm). RNAcentral's name for it is "long non-coding RNA (EGUI_LNC007458)". The record is from RNAcentral. Lineage: Eukaryota; Viridiplantae; Streptophyta; Magnoliopsida; Arecales; Arecaceae.